GAAAAAGAAACAGAAAAAAGAACCCUAAGCCAUUCUCUCUGUUUUCGAAGAGUAAAUUAUGCGGUUCAAACUGAUUUGCUCAUCACCUGUGACUGAUAAAAAAUCGUUCUACAAUUUUCUUCUCUUUCUAUUCAAGAUUGAUAGCUAAAUAUAGGCCAGCAAUGCCAGUAUUGUCUGUUGUAAUUCCUCGACUCAAGAUAAAUCAACUGAAGUGGAGUUCUAGCGGUGCAUUUGAGGCAAGGCAAUCUCUUAUUGUCCGGGUUCUUUUCCCAAUGCUGGCUGAUCCUCGACAUCUUGUACGUCAUCUCAUCACUCCCCAUUCACUUUGAAGAAAAGGAUGUAGAAAAGAUACAUGCCAUUACCAAAUGAAUGCAGCUUGCUAGGAACCCAUUGCCUUUUAGCAUCUCCUCUAUAAACUCUCAA
Non-coding RNA from Nicotiana tabacum (common tobacco), 423 nucleotides. The record is from RefSeq and is a predicted model, not a curated record. Lineage: Eukaryota; Viridiplantae; Streptophyta; Magnoliopsida; Solanales; Solanaceae.